AACGAACGCUGGCGGCAGGCCUAACACAUGCAAGUCGAGCGAACCUUCGGGUUAGCGGCGGACGGGUUAGUAACGCGUGGGAACGUGCCCUUCUCUACGGAAUAGCCUCGGGAAACUGAGAGUAAUACCGUAUACGCCCUUCGGGGGAAAGAUUUAUCGGGGAAGGAUCGGCCCGCGUUGGAUUAGGUAGUUGGUGGGGUAAUGGCCUACCAAGCCGACGAUCCAUAGCUGGUUUGAGAGGAUGAUCAGCCACACUGGGACUGAGACACGGCCCAGACUCCUACGGGAGGCAGCAGUAGGGAAUCUUGGACAAUGGGGGCAACCCUGAUCCAGCCAUGCCGCGUGAGUGAUGAAGGCCUUAGGGUCGUAAAGCUCUUUCGCCUGUGAUGAUAAUGACAGUAGCAGGUAAAGAAACCCCGGCUAACUCCGUG
Molecule: ribosomal RNA, 431 nt
Filed under: uncultured bacterium
Lineage: Bacteria
Description: bacterial SSU rRNA
Rfam family: Bacterial small subunit ribosomal RNA
Source: RNAcentral